This 255-nucleotide ribosomal RNA is filed under the name uncultured prokaryote. RNAcentral describes it as "partial 16S ribosomal RNA". It matches the Rfam family "Bacterial small subunit ribosomal RNA", at positions 523 to 777 of the family's 1533-position model. The record is from RNAcentral.
AUACGAAGGGGGCUAGCGUUGCUCGGAAUCACUGGGCGUAAAGCGCACGUAGGCGGCUUCUUAAGUCAGGGGUGAAAUCCUGGAGCUCAACUCCAGAACUGCCCUUGAUACUGAGGAGCUGGAGUCCGGGAGAGGUGAGUGGAACUGCGAGUGUAGAGGUGAAAUUCGUAGAUAUUCGCAAGAACACCAGUGGCGAAGGCGGCUCACUGGCCCGGUACUGACGCUGAGGUGCGAAAGCGUGGGGAGCAAACAGGA